This 654-nucleotide long non-coding RNA is filed under the name Parus major (Great Tit). RNAcentral's name for it is "lncRNA (ENSPMJG00000019305.1)". Lineage: Eukaryota; Metazoa; Chordata; Aves; Passeriformes; Paridae. The record is from RNAcentral.
AUUUUGAUGCCUUUACCAGCAUUAAACAAAAGGACUCCACAUUAACUUGGACAGUAAAAUGGCUCCAUUCUGUAGCUGAUGAGCUUACUAUUUAUGGAUGUCUAAAUAUAUUUUUGUUUCCUUGUAGGAAGAGGAGUCUGUCUAAAUAUCUUAUUUUGUAACCUACAGAAAUUCACAGAAGGAUGUCUUCUAGUAAUAUCUCCUUUGAAUUAUUUCCUUAACUAUGAAGAUGCAAGUAAACAAGCAAUUUUUUUACAGUGGACAGGUCAUAACUUUUAAAUGGCCAACCUGUCUGUCCUUUCAAGAAAAAGCCAGGACUGCUGUGCAUACAUGGAGGACUUUUUUCCUCUCUCCCCUUGCUUUUGCUGCCAACUGCUGCAUCUCAUAUCUGGGAAAGAACAGGUGCAGAGCCAUCUUGGGAUUGCAGUGCAUUGCCAGCAGCUUGCAGGGGUCCUGCGAGGAAUUACAUGUUGCUGCUGAUGGAGGUUUCUUCCUCCUGUUUGCUGGGACAAUCAUGCUGGUGUUUAUGGCCCUCUCAAAAGGGAAGCUGUGGGCCUUGAUCUAGGCCUUGCUGGGAGGAAUCAGGCUAUGUGACUACUGCGUAAUGGGCUAUUUUUACCCCAGGUAAAAUUUUACAAGUUAACUACUUCCUUU